This 378-nucleotide ribosomal RNA is filed under the name uncultured bacterium. RNAcentral's name for it is "bacterial SSU rRNA". It matches the Rfam family "Bacterial small subunit ribosomal RNA", at positions 28 to 395 of the family's 1533-position model. The record is from RNAcentral.
GAUGAACGCUAGCUACAGGCUUAACACAUGCAAGUCGAGGGGCAGCAUGGUCUUAGCUUGCUAAGGCCGAUGGCGACCGGCGCACGGGUGAGUAACGCGUAUCCAACCUGCCUUACACUCUUGGACAGCCUUCUGAAAAGGGGAGAUUAAUACAAGAUGUUAUCAUGAGUAAGCAUUUUCGCAUGAUUAAAGGUUUACCGGUGUAAGAUGGGGAUGCGUUCCAUUAGAUAGUAGGCGGGGUAACGGCCACCUAGUCUUCGAUGGAUAGGGGUUCUGAGAGGAAGGUCCCCACAAUUGGAACUGAGACACGGUCCAAACUACCCUACGGGAGGCAGCAGUGAGGAAUAUGUCAAUGGCGGCUAGCCUGAACCAAGCCAA